AUGGAUUGCAAGCAGCCUCCGGCGUGCUUCAAGUGCAAAAGGACAGACCACCCGACCCUUCUCUGCCCGGGCCAAUCUGCGGAUGGGGAGUUCAUGCUCUUCGGAUAUGCCCCGGAUGAUCUGGGCUUCUCCCAGAUGGACUUGUCGGAGCCUGCAGCCACACCCUCCCUGACCGCCCUCAUCUUGGUCCUUGGGGGCAAGACUGCUUCUCCGGUGAUCAUUGUGGAUGAGCUCCGUCACCUCUUUCGUCCGGAUUGGGAUUGGGAGGUGACCCCGAUCUCUCAUCAUGAGUUCAUAACAGUGUUUCCGGAUCCCAUCAGCCUCCGCUACGGCAACCACAGUGAUGAGCUCACCUUGGCGCUCAACAAGCUCACCGGCAAUAUCUCUGUGCUGUUGGUUGACCCACUAGCGGUCGCGACCCUCUCGACGGUGUGGAUCCAGAUCUGCAGACUCCCCUCGAUUGCCAAGAAGGACCGUGUCGUUCGGAAUAUGUCGAGAAUCCUUGGCAAGAUUGUGGAGGCGGAUGGUUCCUCCCUCAUCCGGGGGGCGGUGGUGCGGGCCAAGGUCAAGGCACCUGACCCAAACAAGCUCCAGACGACAAUUCAGAUGUUCUUCCGUGAUGUCGGAUACGAUCUUCGGAUCUUGGUCGAGGGGGAAUCUCAGGAUGCCCCACAUGAACCUGAUGGUGGCGAGGAUCCGGACAUUGGCAAGGGGCGUGAUGGAGGUGCUGGAGUGCAAAUGGACAUGUAA
This 750-nucleotide ribosomal RNA is filed under the name Triticum aestivum (bread wheat). RNAcentral's name for it is "partial small subunit ribosomal RNA". The record is from RNAcentral. Lineage: Eukaryota; Viridiplantae; Streptophyta; Magnoliopsida; Poales; Poaceae.